Molecule: signal recognition particle RNA, 287 nt
Filed under: Sphenodon punctatus (tuatara)
Lineage: Eukaryota; Metazoa; Chordata; Lepidosauria; Sphenodontia; Sphenodontidae
Description: Metazoan signal recognition particle RNA (ENSSPUG00000008735.1)
Rfam family: Metazoan signal recognition particle RNA
About the family: The signal recognition particle (SRP) is a universally conserved ribonucleoprotein. It is involved in the co-translational targeting of proteins to membranes.
Source: RNAcentral
GCAGGGUUCAAUGGUUUGUGCCUCUAAUCCCUCCCAGCUCUUUGGGAGGCUGAGGCUGAGGGAUAGCUUGAGCUCAGGAGUUGUGGGAUGGGCCAUUUGUAUCCAUGCUAAGAUCGGCAUCAAUAUGGGGAGCUGUAGGUCACCAAAUUGCCUAAGAAGGGGUGAACUGGCCCAGGUCAGGAAUGGAGCAGGUCAAAACUCCUGUGCUGAGGAGUAGUGAGAUAAGGAUUGCACUUGUGAGUGGUCCCUGCAGCACAGCCUGGGCAAGAGAGAGAGACCCAGUCUCU